CUGUCCACCGGGGUUGUUUCGAAGACCUGGUAAACCCACGGCCCCUUAUAAUCAUCAGUCUCUAUAAAGGGCACGAUGGAACCACUUACAGCGCAUCUGGGGUAUUCCCCAUGUAACACGAUCUCUUGUCUGACCCACUUGAACUUGACCAUUUGGUGCAACGUGGAAGGCACUACUUUGGCUGCGUGGUUCCACGAUCAUCCCAAAAAAAUAUUAUAAGAUACUACAGCGUCCAACACCUGCAAUUCCAUAAUGAUCUCGACUGGGCCAGUAGUCAAUUCAAGUAUAAUAUCCCCCACCGUGUCUGUUCCACCUACG
This 318-nucleotide long non-coding RNA is filed under the name Nicotiana benthamiana. RNAcentral's name for it is "long non-coding RNA (NBEN_LNC033449)". Lineage: Eukaryota; Viridiplantae; Streptophyta; Magnoliopsida; Solanales; Solanaceae. The record is from RNAcentral.